GACGAACGCUGGCGGCGGGCCUAAUACAUGCAAGUAGAACGCUGAAGGAGAAGCUUGCUUCUCUGUAUGAGUUGCGAACGGGUGAAUAACGCGUAGGUAACCUGCCUGGUAGCGGGUGAUAACUAUUGGAAACGAUAGCUAAUACCGCAUAAGAGUAGAUGUUGCAUGACAUUUUCUUAAAAGCUGCAAUUGCAUCACUACCAGAUGGACCUGCGUUGUAUUAGCUAUUUGGGGAGGUAACGGCUCACCUAGGCAACGAUACAUAGCCGACCUGCGAGGGUGAUCGGCCACACUGGGAAUGAGACACGGCCCAGAAUCCUAAGGGAGGCAGCAGUAGGGAAUCUUCGGCAAUGGACGGAAGUCUGACCGAGCAAAGCCGCGCGAGUGAAGAAGGGUUUCGGAUCGUAAAGCUCUGUUGUAAGAGAAGAAAGAGUGUGAGAGUGGAAAGUUCACACUGUGACGGUAUCUAAAGAGAAAGGGACGGCUAACUACGUG
This 495-nucleotide ribosomal RNA is filed under the name uncultured bacterium. RNAcentral describes it as "partial 16S ribosomal RNA". It matches the Rfam family "Bacterial small subunit ribosomal RNA", at positions 28 to 507 of the family's 1533-position model. The record is from RNAcentral.